UCUCUCUCUUGUUCCAUUGCAGAGGGCCUGAGGGAGUAUUUUAGCAAGUUUGGAGAUAUUAAUGAAGUUAUGGUGAUGAAGGACCCCACCACGCGCCGAUCCAGGGGUUUCGGGUUUGUUACCUUCAGUGACCCGUCGAGUGUGGACAAGGUGUUGGCGCUGGCGGCACACGAACUCGAUGGCAAAAAGAUCGACCCGAAAGUUGCCUUUCCCCGUCGCGCACAUCCAAAGGUAAGAUGUCGAUGAGGUGCAUGUCUCAUAGGAUCACAGUAAGUAACACGUUUCGGACAUGUCUGCAUUUGAGGAAUGACUCAAUUAUAACAUCGGACUUACUAUUCUAGUUGGUUCUUGUAUCUUGCCCCCCUCCCCCCUUCACGCCACGAAAUAUUAGAAUAUUAUAGAUACCCAAAUUUAAAAAGAAAAGAGGGGGAAAAAACGGUCUAAGUAAUGAUCAUAAUCAAAGUAUUUUUGGUUAUAU
RNAcentral lists this long non-coding RNA (478 nucleotides) under Penaeus japonicus. Its description in RNAcentral is "uncharacterized LOC122255036". The record is from RNAcentral. Lineage: Eukaryota; Metazoa; Arthropoda; Malacostraca; Decapoda; Penaeidae.